This 115-nucleotide small nucleolar RNA is filed under the name Mus pahari (shrew mouse). RNAcentral describes it as "snoRNA (MGP_PahariEiJ_G0034270.1)". Lineage: Eukaryota; Metazoa; Chordata; Mammalia; Rodentia; Muridae. The record is from RNAcentral.
ACCCUGAUUCCCUUUCACAUUGGAUCAAAUGGUGGUCAUAAACGAGGUAGUACCCUGAAGCGGGCAUCACAACAGUGUAGUCUAGUACAGAACAGAAGGCCAAAUUCAAAAAUGC